UUUUGAGGCCAUGGUGCUCC
Molecule: non-coding RNA, 20 nt
Filed under: Rattus norvegicus (Norway rat)
Lineage: Eukaryota; Metazoa; Chordata; Mammalia; Rodentia; Muridae
Source: RNAcentral